This 487-nucleotide ribosomal RNA is filed under the name uncultured bacterium. Its description in RNAcentral is "bacterial SSU rRNA". It matches the Rfam family "Bacterial small subunit ribosomal RNA", at positions 28 to 526 of the family's 1533-position model. The record is from RNAcentral.
GACGAACGCUGGCGGCGUGCUUAACACAUGCAAGUCGAACGAUGAUGCCCAGCUUGCUGGGUGGAUUAGUGGCGAACGGGUGAGUAAUACGUGAGUAACCUGCCCUUGACUCUGGGAUAAGCCUGGGAAACUGGGUCUAAUACUGGAUACUACCGUCCAUCGCAUGGUGGGUGGUGGAAAGGGUUUUACUGGUUUUGGAUGGGCUCACGGCCUAUCAGCUUGUUGGUGGGGUAAUGGCUCACCAAGGCGACGACGGGUAGCCGGCCUGAGAGGGUGACCGGCCACACUGGGACUGAGACACGGCCCAGACUCCUACGGGAGGCAGCAGUGGGGAAUAUUGCACAAUGGGCGGAAGCCUGAUGCAGCGACGCCGCGUGAGGGAUGACGGCCUUCGGGUUGUAAACCUCUUUCAGUAGGGAAGAAGCGAGAGUGACGGUACCUGCAGAAGAAGCGCCGGCUAACUACGUGCCAGCAGCCGCCGUAAAAC